GAUGAACGCUGGCGGCGUGCCUAAUACAUGCAAGUCGAGCGAACAGACGAGGAGCUUGCUCCUCUGACGUUAGCGGCGGACGGGUGAGUAACACGUGGAUAACCUACCUAUAAGACUGGGAUAACUUCGGGAAACCGGAGCUAAUACCGGAUAAUAUAUUGAACCGCAUGGUUCAAUAGUGAAAGACGGUUUUGCUGUCACUUAUAGAUGGAUCCGCGCCGCAUUAGCUAGUUGGUGAGGUAACGGCUUACCAAGGCAACGAUGCGUAGCCGACCUGAGAGGGUGGUCGGCCACACGGGAACGGAGCCACGGUCCAGACUCCUACGGGAGGCAGCAGUAGGGAAUCUUCCGCAAUGGGCGAAAGCCUGACGGAGCAACGCCGCGUGAGUGAUGAAGGUCUUCGGAUCGUAAAACUCUGUUAUUAGGGAAGAACAAAUGUGUAAGUAACUAUGCACGUCUUGACGGUACCUAAUCAGAAAGCCACGGCUAACUACGUG
RNAcentral lists this ribosomal RNA (497 nucleotides) under uncultured bacterium. RNAcentral's name for it is "partial 16S ribosomal RNA". It matches the Rfam family "Bacterial small subunit ribosomal RNA", at positions 28 to 507 of the family's 1533-position model. The record is from RNAcentral.